CAUCUGUAAGCUUUCUGAGAGUGCCUCAUCUAAAACUCCUCCUACUUUUCAUCUUUGGAAGAGUCCAAAUCAAGAAGAAGGAGGCAUCUGAUUGACCAUCGAAGAAGGAUCAGCGCAGUACUAGCAUACUGUACUGAUUUCCUAGAUCAGGACUUCUGAUCGUGAUUCUGGGCUCGUGCGGACGACUUCUAGAGGCCGGAUGCGUGUGUGGCUCGCAACAUCAUCCUCAAGCCCAGAUCAGUAAAGUUAAAACAUCU
This 257-nucleotide long non-coding RNA is filed under the name Elaeis guineensis (African oil palm). RNAcentral's name for it is "long non-coding RNA (EGUI_LNC082205)". Lineage: Eukaryota; Viridiplantae; Streptophyta; Magnoliopsida; Arecales; Arecaceae. The record is from RNAcentral.